RNAcentral lists this ribosomal RNA (322 nucleotides) under uncultured Sandonidae. Its description in RNAcentral is "partial small subunit ribosomal RNA". The stretch from base 111 to 322 matches the Rfam family "Eukaryotic small subunit ribosomal RNA", at positions 743 to 955 of the family's 1831-position model. The record is from RNAcentral. Lineage: Eukaryota; Cercozoa; Glissomonadida; Viridiraptoridae.
GAUUUCUGGCUUGUCGCCCUCUGCCGGCCGCGGUUUCGCGUGUCAGUGCGGCUGGCGCUGGCCAUCCAUCCACGCUCGCCCGCUGCUCUUCAUUGACGCAGUGAGGCGGGUUGGAUCUGUUACUUUGAAAAAAUUAGAGUGUUUCAAGCAGGCUCAAUGCUAUGAAUACAUUAGCAUGGAAUAAUAAUUUAGGACUUCGGUUCUAUUUUGUUGGUUUCUAGGACUGAAGUAAUGAUUGAUAGGGAUAGUUGGGGGUGCUAGUAUUCAGCGGCCAGAGGUGAAAUUCUCGGAUUCGCUGAAGACUAACUUAUGCGAAAGCAUU